This is a long non-coding RNA of Olea europaea var. sylvestris, 1467 nucleotides long. RefSeq lists it as uncharacterized. The transcript has 2 exons. NCBI's taxonomy places the organism in Eukaryota, Viridiplantae, Streptophyta, Magnoliopsida, Lamiales, Oleaceae. The record is from RefSeq and is a predicted model, not a curated record.
CCCUCUUCUUCCCUCUACCCCCUCCCCACCCCCCUUUCUCUUCUUCUAUCUCCUUUCCCUUCUCCUAUAACUCUAACAAAAAUGCUACAGGUACAGGAAACUUGUUACAGAAGGGUUACAAGGUUUCAAAUAAUGAUGAUGUGGCAUACUAAAAAAAAAAAAAAAAAUCAAUUUGAAAUCGUAUGUCCAUUUCCCCAAAUCCAAAGUCUUCCAUUUUCCCCCAAUUCACGCACGAAAUAUCUUCCCCAAACCAAUCUUCCUGUACUCCCGAUCACCGUCACCAUCGAUGGAUGCACCUCCUUCACCAUUGGUGCCAACAAGCUGCCUGGGAGCAGAAAAUCCGAUGCCGCAUUCACUAAGAUACCCCGACGCUGCACUCGCAUCCCUCCCCUGCCACACUCCAUCAGCCCGGAUCGACUAUAAUGAGAGGAAGGAAUUUAGGAGUUUGUCACGGUUGCAGAAGCAAAACUCAUUACUUUGGACAAUGCCCAACAAAGUGCCGAUGCCCUUCGUGUAAACAUGGAUAUCACAAGUGUUUUGAGGUGGAAUGGGAUACUAGUAACAAAGGGCAAUUGUUCUUCACCUGUAGUAAUGAUUGUGGAUAUUUCGAUUGGGUGAAAGAAGAAGUGCUAAGCGGGGAGUCAAGUUCCAUUAACGAAAUGGUGAAUCAUGAGUACAAUGUGGAAGAUGAAGAUUUGCCAAGACUCUUUGACGGUCUAGCUCGAAGUAGUGAGAAAUAAGGCGUGGACAUAUCAAUGCACUUGAGUUUUAGCAACGGAAAGGGCAUUGCGAAGUUCGAUGGGAAAGGAAAGGGUUUGACUUGAACGAUUUAUUUGAUGUAUGGGUAAUCUUGUCAAAAUUGGUCAUUGAUUGAUCGAUUGUUAUUGGAUUCGUCGUAAUAUAUGUUAUGGUUGCCAUAACCUUUACGAUAUAUUUGUUCUAGUUUUUAUUUGUGAACAUCUUGGCUGAAUCGUUUAACAAGAAAGGCUUGUGAUUAAAGUGUAUCUUGAAACUUUUGUAGUUAUUUUUGAAACCUUUCCCCAAGUGAGAUUAGGUACAGUUCGUUUUAAGAAUACAAAUGCAGGUUCAACCCGAGCCCUUUACCCAUCCUCCCUUCAUUUCUUAAACCUUCUUCCACUAUGCCACACUUCCUAAUCUAAAAUUUCUAACCUCUUUCAAAAAAUUAUAGAUUCCGAUUUGCAGUCCAAUAACAAUAAAGGCGUAUGCUUCCAGCGUGACGAGAAAUAUUUUAUUGGGCAUCAUUGUACAAACAUGGAAUUACUUGGGCAUGCAUUCAGCUUUGUAUCCAAUUUAAGGGAGCUCGACGACAGAAAGGGACAGGUUGCAGAUGAUGAACAUAAUUCUAUGUUAUUGUGCAGUCUUCAACGUUUGUUGUAUAUUGUGUCACUGGUUUAUAUUGUACAUCCACUCAGUUUUAGCUAUCUAGCCCAUUAUCCAUUUAUUGUU